GUCCUCGCGCCGUUGGCGCAGCCAAUAAGCAUAGAGCUGUGGGGGGAAGGGCAAGAGCGCGGGCCUGUUGUCACCGCCCUUCGUGGGCGGGAGAGAGAGGGCCUGCUCUCCGCCCUCGCCCCCACCCCGGAAGCGCUGAGCCGGGGCUGCCGGCCCCUUCGUUUCAGCUGGGCACUGGAGGCUCUCCGAGUGCCGGGCAGUGUCGAGUCCUGCAUGAGCCUCCUUAUCCCCAUUUCGCAGGUGGGGCGCCAUAUGACGACCACACGAGAAGAGAAAGGCACGUGGGUCCCGCUGCCCCAGUACUGUGGACUUCUGCCCCGUCCCUGCUUGUCUUUAGAGAAGUGGCUAGCUGUGGUAGUGUGAAGUCAGCUAGAAGCCCUCCACAGUCUGUGCAACUCUGACUACAAACAUUAGCUCAGCCCUGCAUGGGAGGCGCUGCCAAGAGGCUCAACAGCAGUGGCCUUAGAGUUGUUGGGGUCCUGGGCAAGCGAGUCAUUUGGGGCCCCUUAGAGGUAUGUACUCAGGAGCUUCCCCAGCAGCUGCCAGAGGACUCUCCCUGCCAGCCCCAGGGCUUAGAUGUGCCCAGGGCCCUGCAUCCUUCCAAUCAGCUGACCAAGAACGGGUGCUAGGGGUGUUGAUCUAAGGACAUGGCACUUGCAGAUAAGGUUCGGUGAUUCAGCCGCCGAAUCUUCUCCGAAUUGAAUCGCAGACCAAAGCUUCGCGCACCCCUAGUAGCAGGCUCCUUAGAAAUCUUUGCUACUGAAAGGAUUCUGAAAGCAAGUUAUGGGAUAUCUCUUUUUUUAUCCUUAAUUUUCAUGGGUAUUCUCCACAGCACCUUAAAUGUCAGUUCCAUCAUGGAAGAGGCCCUCUCUAGAAAGUUAUUGCUAGUUUCUUAGGUAUGGGGUUAUCCUUUGCUUAAAUCCAUACCAGCAUUGUAUAUUAUUCCAUUUGCAAUUGGAAAGCAUAUAUAUUAGUUUAACUCUUGUGAACAUGAUAUAUUUGCUCAAUGCUGUUGUUAUUUAGCAUUUAUAUCAUAGUGCCCAAAGAUGCAACUAGGUUGGAUCCAAUAGUGCUGAACCCAUCUGAAACAGAAACCUUUCCCCAAAUAGUUUUGUUCUGCCUGAAUGUCAGCUUGUAUAAAUUUUGUUUUGCUCACCUAAAUGUAAGGAAACAGAUCAAGAGGAUACAGUAUUCUUCAGAUCCUUGUACCUAAUUCUGCAAGGUAGUCCACACUGCAGAAACCCCACUGACUUCAGAUAAACUCUACCAAAAGAAGUUAAUAAAUUUGCCCCAACAAAUACAAG
Alligator sinensis (Chinese alligator) is the source of this 1304-nucleotide long non-coding RNA. RefSeq lists it as uncharacterized. The record is from RefSeq and is a predicted model, not a curated record. The transcript has 4 exons. NCBI's taxonomy places the organism in Eukaryota, Metazoa, Chordata, Crocodylia, Alligatoridae.